Molecule: ribosomal RNA, 262 nt
Filed under: Chaetoceros curvisetus
Lineage: Eukaryota; Bacillariophyta; Thalassiosirophyceae; Chaetocerotales; Chaetocerotaceae
Description: partial Bacterial small subunit ribosomal RNA
Rfam family: Bacterial small subunit ribosomal RNA
Source: RNAcentral
GGAGGAAGGUGGGGAUGACUUCAAGUCAUCAUGGCCCUUACGACCAGGGCUACACACGUGCUACAAUGGUAGGUACAGAGGGUUGCUACACAGCGAUGUGAUGCUAAUCUCAAAAAGCCUAUCGUAGUCCGGAUUGGAGUCUGCAACUCGACUCCAUGAAGUCGGAAUCGCUAGUAAUCGUAGAUCAGAAUGCUACGGUGAAUACGUUCCCGGGCCUUGUACACACCGCCCGUCAAGCCAUGAAAGCCGGGGGUACCUGAAG